GAUGGAACGCAGCGAAAUGCGAUACGUAAUGUGAAUUGCAGAAUUCAGUGAAUCAUCGAGUCUUUGAACGCACAUUGCGCCCCCUGGUAUUCCGGGGGGCAUGCCUGUCCGAGCGUCAUUGCUGCCCUCAAGCACGGCUUGUGUGUUGGGCCUCCGUCCUCCUCCCGGGGGACGGGCCCGAAAGGCAGCGGCGGCACCGCGUCCGGUCCUCGAGCGUAUGGGGCUUCGUCACCCGCUCUUGUAGGCCCGGCCGGCGCUUGCCGACACAUCAAUCUUUUUUCCAGGUUGACCUCGGAUCAGGUAGGGAUACCCGCUGAACUUAAGCAUAUCAAUAAGCGGAGGA
Molecule: unclassified non-coding RNA, 343 nt
Filed under: soil metagenome
Description: partial contains 5.8S ribosomal RNA, internal transcribed spacer 2, and large subunit ribosomal RNA
Rfam family: 5.8S ribosomal RNA (bases 4-118)
Source: RNAcentral